GCCCCAACAACUCCACCUCCAGUCCAGUCCGUUUGUCCUCCACCCAAAUGGAGGCUGGUGUAUUUCCUCUAUUUAACCAAAGGAAGUGACAGAAUAAGCAGCAGAGGUGCUGUAUGUGAAGCUGUCUCAGUGAGCACCGGCCCUGUUGCACUUAUCUGAUGCUGCCGGUGAAACCACCAUAUUCAGUGCAUCAUACAAAAGAAGGACAUCAUGGCCUCCAGAGUCACUCUCUUCAUCUUCUGUUAUUUUCUCUUCCUAAGUAAGUUCCAUUUUUAUUAGUGUGCUUCAAAUGAUUAACAUAAUUUUGGGGAUGAAAGGUAUUUUCAUUAGAAAUGAUGAACCAGUGUAGGGUUUUUAUAUAGUGGAACGACAGCAGUUUGUUUAACACAGUAAAUGAAAGGCAUGUUACCUGAUUAAUGCUUACAGGGAAAAUGGUGCUAUUUAAUUAUUUCAUAAAUAUUUCAUUAUUUUAAUGAAAUGAUAAGAGGAAUGUAAUCAGUAAGGAUCAGGCUUAAGUGUAUGCGUACCUUAGCAAACGUGCUGAGAGUUUAAAUGUGGAAAAUGUAGACUGUCAAAGAUCUGUAGAUGUUUGCUUACACUGUGUCAGUAUAGGGUGGGGAUUAGCUGGUAUUCUGUUGUUGGACAUGAGAAUGAAUGUGAUGAUAAUCGGUGGGAACCAGACAGCCCUGUUUCUCACAGCAUGUAAAGCCGCCAUUUGGAAAAAUUUACAGCAAAUCUGCUUCCGUCGUAAAUCAACACAACCAGGAAAUUGGUCAACACCCAGAGGCUUGAGAAUGGCUAGGAAGUCUAAAUCAUUCUGCCUACAAUAUAUAAAUAAUACUUUUCAUUUUUUAUAAUAUAAUCAUCACUUUAUGCUAACUAUUUAUUUCCAUAAUAGAAACCUGUGCACCUCAUUUUAGGUUUCAUUAACUGAUAAAGCAGUAAUUUGGUCUUGAAUUUGUAUAACCUAUAAUUGGUCUGUUUAAAUUGUGGGCAUUUAUGGGUAAACGCAGUGCUUCCAACAUUCUGACACUGACAUAAUUGUUUCUCCUCAUAUGUUACUUAGCUAAUUAUGAUCUUGAUGAUUAUGAUUAUGAUCAUUCUGUCUCUCCCAGACAUAAAGGUUCAGGCUUCAGCUUUCAGGUUGGAGAGCAUAGAUCAAACACAGAUUGGGCCAGACAAUAAGGUCUCAGAAAAAGAAUUUAUCAAGGCCAGGAAGCAUUAACAGGAACCUCCUAAGGGAGUCCUGGGAGAGAAACAGGGUUACACAGGAUGCAGCUUUUCACAGGUCUGCUGAUAUGUAAAGAGGAUGUCUGCACUGGAGGAUGAGGGAAUGUUGCCCUUUCGGUCAUCCUAUGUCAUCCAAUGUGCUAGGUGAAAGACAUGUACAAUGUAAAUCUCAAAAAGGAAAGACAAGAGCAUUUCCCAUCAGAUUACAGAGUCAGUGCUCAGGAAGAUAAGCUAUUUUUAAGGCACAUGUGUUUAAUUGUAUUGUUUGACAGUUUAUUAAUAAUUCAACUGCCAUACAUCUGUUCUGAGAGAAUAUCAUGUUCAGUUUGUUCAGUCCUUUAUAGCUUCAGGAGCCAUUUAGAGGACGUUUUCAACUAAAAACCGAAAACUUUUUAUACGUUUUGGCUGCUCGUUUACACGACAACCGCAUUUUGAGGCCUGGAAACGCAAACUUUUGAAACCAGCUUUCAAAGUGCAAGUUUUACAAUGCUGUUAGCAUCUCUGUGUAAACAUACAAAAAUGAGAAUCUGUGAAAACGAUGACGUCAUGCACACGCGUAUUACGUGUUCAGUUUAUAGGCAUGUACACGAAUACUUCAAAACAAUGCACGAGACAUUCAACACUACAGGACUGUGUUUGUGUUUGUCAAAUUUUGGAGUUUAUUGACACUUCUACAGCAAAGCGUAGAUUUACUGCAUCACUACUACGACCAGCGGAGAUGCAUUUGUUACAUACGCCACAUUAUCAACCCACAUCUACGCCGACAAAGGAUAUUCAAAAUCUUAUAAUCAUCUUUGUAAUUGUCUGUUUUGGAGUAAAUCUAUCCUUUUACUGCUAAUACAAUAUAGAAAGCAGAUUGACUGCCAGUGUCUCACGAUUUGAUUUGUAUUUGCUGAUUUUGUUCCAUUUUGGUACAAUGAUGGUCAAUUAUUUGUACUUAAAGAUGCAUUAUUUAGAUUUUUUUCAGUAUGUAAAAAUGAAUGAGUUUUGUUAACAGAAUUCUGACCUGGAGCACAAGAAAAGCUAAAAGAUGGGGUUGAAGACAGAAAAAUCCAUUUCCACAAUGAAAAAAUAUUUAUGUACAGUCCAUGUACAUUAAAUUAAAAUUCAUUAGGGACGUCUCAGCAUUUAUUAACCAAGAUAAAUAAGCCAAAUCUGUGCUUGACAAGCGUGAGUUUCCACAAUUCCUUAUGACAAUUAAUCAUUUUCCAAGUCUAACUAUCGAGAUUGUAAGUAACUGGAGACUGAACUUUUUUGUACUCAAUAUAGAUCAUAAACCAUUGAAAUUGUUUGAGAAAUGUAAUGAACGGGGAUCAUUUUGACAACGUUGUCGUCUAUACGUCAAACUUUUCAAAAACGCAAAGGAAAAACUGGUCUGUUUUUAGUACAUCGUUGUCGUGUAAACGUACCCUCAGUGGUUGGUCACAUCAACAGCAGACUUGAAUAAAAUACUAGAUACACUGUCUAUUUAUACAAUUACUGACUGUAGACGCCACCCUGACACCCUAUCAAUAGAGUGAGACCACUAUGGCACUCCAGCCCUACAUCAUGCCAGUGUCAGUGCUGUAUUGAGAAUUAAUAACCAUUGAAAUAAUAUCUGGUGAGUGGUGGUCUCCUACCACUGAUGAAUGGGAUUGCGGAGGCUGGUAAACUGUUCAUAGCAACUGAUACACUCAGUAAGUGUGUAUCUACAAAUUGGUAGGUGUGUAUCUAAUAAAGUGAAUGUUGUCAAUUGAAUUCUAAAUGAAUAUGAAAAUCGAAUAGUAAAUGUUUUUUUUCUCGAUACCUUGAAAUAUCUAUCCAUUAUUUAGAAAAGUAUAUAAUGGACUAGUGUGCCAUGUGCAAGUAUAGCACACUAGUCACAAUAUGUUUUGUGACGCCUUACUGGUUUCAAUCUGAAAUCUUUAGUAUAGCCUCACUUUCCUAUCAGUGUUUUAUCUUGACUAUAUGCAAAUUAAUUUUCAGUCGAGUAACAUCAUAUUUUCUCACUGCUUAGCAAAUGAGAUUGAUGCUACUGAUACUACUUCCCCCAAUAACAUAUCAACAGAACCAACAAGACUAACAGAGACUAACAUCAAUGCAACAUCACCAACACCAUCAACAGUUGGAUCAACACAGUCUGUCCACUCUACUACUACUCGAGCUGGUGGGACGUCUAACCCCACUGAGCAACAGAGGACAUCAAAUACAUUGACCACUUCCAAACCCAUCAGCAGCACUACACUUGAA
Molecule: long non-coding RNA, 3459 nt
Organism: Ictalurus punctatus (channel catfish)
Lineage: Eukaryota; Metazoa; Chordata; Actinopteri; Siluriformes; Ictaluridae
Source: Ensembl